RNAcentral lists this ribosomal RNA (200 nucleotides) under uncultured Glomus. RNAcentral's name for it is "partial small subunit ribosomal RNA". It matches the Rfam family "Eukaryotic small subunit ribosomal RNA", at positions 591 to 792 of the family's 1831-position model. The record is from RNAcentral. Lineage: Eukaryota; Fungi; Glomeromycota; Glomeromycetes; Glomerales; Glomeraceae.
CCAAUAGUGUAUAUUAAAGUUGUUGCAGUUAAAAAGCUCGUAGUUGAAUUUCGGGAUCAAUAUUUCGGUCAUGCCGUUGGUAUGUACUGAUAUUAUUGGUUUCUCACCUUCUAAAGAACCGUAAUGCCAUUAAUUUGGUGUCACGGGAAAUUAGGACUGUUACUUUGAAAAAAUUAGAGCGUUUAAAGCAGGAUCACACU